CCUACGGGGAGCUGCAGUGGGGAAUAUUGGACAAUGGGCGAAAGCCUGAUCCAGCCAUGCCGCGUGUGUGAAGAAGGCCUUCGGGUUGUAAAGCACUUUCAGUGGGGAAGAAAGCCUUGGGGCUAAUACCCUCGAGGAAGGACAUCACCCACAGAAGAAGCACCGGCUAACUCCGUGCCAGCAGCCGCGGUAAUACGGAGGGUGCGAGCGUUAAUCGGAAUUACUGGGCGUAAAGCGCGCGUAGGCGGUCUGAUAAGCCGGUUGUGAAAGCCCCGGGCUCAACCUGGGAACGGCAUCCGGAACUGUCAGGCUAGAGUGCAGGAGAGGAAGGUAGAAUUCCCGGUGUAGCGGUGAAUUGCGUAGAGAUCGGGAGGAAUACCAGUGGCGAAGGCGGCCUUCUGGACUGACACUGACGCUGAGGUGCGAAAGCGUGGGUAGCAAACAGGAUUAGAUACCCUGGUAGUC
RNAcentral lists this ribosomal RNA (465 nucleotides) under Vreelandella stevensii. RNAcentral describes it as "partial 16S ribosomal RNA". It matches the Rfam family "Bacterial small subunit ribosomal RNA", at positions 338 to 795 of the family's 1533-position model. The record is from RNAcentral. Lineage: Bacteria; Pseudomonadati; Pseudomonadota; Gammaproteobacteria; Oceanospirillales; Halomonadaceae.